Molecule: unclassified non-coding RNA, 456 nt
Filed under: Hevea brasiliensis (rubber tree)
Lineage: Eukaryota; Viridiplantae; Streptophyta; Magnoliopsida; Malpighiales; Euphorbiaceae
Source: RNAcentral
AAACAAGGGAGACGGUGGAAGUAGCAAAGGAGGAUGGUAAGUUGAUCCACAAAUUUGUCAUCUGAUUUGUGUUACUUGGAAGGACUGAAAGUUCAGGGAUCUGUAUAUAUUGGUUUCUUUGCCCUUUUUUUGUUCUUUUUUAAAUGCACUAUUAAGGUGUGAAAACAGUAGUUUCUUGUGGAACCAUGCACAAGUCCUUAAUUUUCCUUCACUUUUUGGACACUGGUACUAAUGAGCAGAGCUCGACUGAGCAUGGAUAAGGGAACACCUGUUUUAUAAUGGCCAGUGCAUGGUUAAUUAAGCUUACUUGCAAGUCAUUUGUAAAAAAAAAAAAUGUUUGUCCUUAGAUAAUUCAGCAUAUUAUGUUUUGGUUUAUCGUUGAUACUAUUAUGGUUCCCUGUAGAUGUUUGUGCAUGACAUUUGAAAUUAGCCGUUUGUGCCACAGUUUUCGGUCAG